RNAcentral lists this long non-coding RNA (389 nucleotides) under Malus domestica (apple). RNAcentral's name for it is "long non-coding RNA (MDOM_LNC001729)". The record is from RNAcentral. Lineage: Eukaryota; Viridiplantae; Streptophyta; Magnoliopsida; Rosales; Rosaceae.
CCAUAGGAUUGCCAAUUGGGUAUUGACAAUCCGCUAAGGUUAGUAUGUGUUAUGUCGACUCAAGCGUGAAUAUGACUUGUCUCAAGUCAUUUGGUGUUGGACACUAAGACAAACACAUAGGUGCUCGAAAGUGUAAUCGAGUACACUGAACAACGAUCAAAAGAGAGUUCAAACAUACAUGUCAUGUAAGAACUCGAAAGUUGCAAUAUGCAGUGUAGUUCUUUGACCUGAGGCAUCAUAGAUGUCUAAUGGUUAGGUCAUUGAUCUUUGAUUAUGUCAAUGGCAUUCCCUCGGAGUGUCCACGGCAUUGUUGGGGUCAAGUUAUCUAGUCAUGUAGGCAUAUGAAUGCACAACAAGGGAUCUCUAACCUUCCAUGGUGGAAGGAGUAU